GGAGUUGUGGCUCAGUGAUAGAGCGCUUACCUGGCAUGUGUGAGGAACUGGGUUCAAUUCUCAGCACUACA
RNAcentral lists this transfer RNA (71 nucleotides) under Marmota monax (woodchuck). RNAcentral describes it as "tRNA.Ala". The stretch from base 6 to 66 matches the Rfam family "tRNA", at positions 6 to 65 of the family's 71-position model. Rfam says of the family: Transfer RNA (tRNA) molecules are approximately 80 nucleotides in length. Their secondary structure includes four short double-helical elements and three loops (D, anti-codon, and T loops). The record is from RNAcentral. Lineage: Eukaryota; Metazoa; Chordata; Mammalia; Rodentia; Sciuridae.